This is a long non-coding RNA of Bolinopsis microptera, 413 nucleotides long. RefSeq lists it as uncharacterized. Lineage: Eukaryota; Metazoa; Ctenophora; Tentaculata; Lobata; Bolinopsidae. The transcript is spliced from 3 exons. The record is from RefSeq and is a predicted model, not a curated record.
AAUUAAUACUAAAAUUUAGCUGUUUUGAUCUGUGGUGAUACAUUUUAACUUGGAACAUGUGGACUAAUUUUCUACUUACCUUGGUCGUCGCUCUCAGCUGUAGGAUAGAGUUAGGAUGCUGUUUUUUUGACUACAACCAGGAACUGUCAUCCCCGCAGAAAUUUCUACAACUCUACACCUCGCUUCAGGACAGGGUCGGGGCUCAUUUCUCAGGUGAAGAAAAAUUGCUGAGAUUAGGAGUUUUUAAAAGAGCAUUGAGGUUCAUUGGGCGUCAAAACAAACAGACCCAAGAGUGGCAAGUUGAUGUCAACAAGUUCUCGCUCAUGACAGAUGACGAGAAAGCGCAGUACCUGGGAUACAACAGUUCUCUGCCCCGUCAAGAGAGGAAAAAUGACGUCACAGUUAUCUCUGAU